RNAcentral lists this ribosomal RNA (487 nucleotides) under uncultured bacterium. Its description in RNAcentral is "partial 16S ribosomal RNA". It matches the Rfam family "Bacterial small subunit ribosomal RNA", at positions 28 to 523 of the family's 1533-position model. The record is from RNAcentral.
GAUGAACGCUGGCGGCGUGCUUAACACAUGCAAGUCGAACGGUGAAGGUGGGAGCUUGCUCCUGCUGGAUCAGUGGCGAACGGGUGAGUAACACGUGAGUAACCUGCCCCGGACUCUGGGAUAAGCGUUGGAAACGACGUCUAAUACCGGCUACGAGACGCGAAGGCAUCUUCAUCGUCUGGAAAGAUCUUUUGGUCGGGGAUGGACUCGCGGCCUAUCAGGUCGUUGGUGAGGUAAUGGCUCACCAAGCCUACGACGGGUAGCCGGCCUGGGAGGGUGACCGGCCACACGGGGACUGAGACACGGCCCAGACUCCUACGGGAGGCAGCAGUGGGGAAUAUUGGACAAUGGGCGAAAGCCUGAUGCAGCAACGCCGCGUGAGGGACGACGGCCUUCGGGUUGUAAACCUCUUUUAGUAGGGAAGAAGCGAAAGUGACGGUACCUGCAGAAAAAGCACCGGCUAACUACGUGCCAGCCGCCGCCGUAA